Molecule: non-coding RNA, 70 nt
Filed under: Schistosoma curassoni
Lineage: Eukaryota; Metazoa; Platyhelminthes; Trematoda; Strigeidida; Schistosomatidae
Source: RNAcentral
ACGAUAACUCCGCCUGUAGCUCUUAUAGGGUUGCUGCCGGUCCCAAGCCCGGGUAAAGGAGGAGGGUUGA